AGCAGCCGCGGUAAUUCCAGCUCCAAUAGCGUAUAUUAAAGUUGUUGCAGUUAAAAAGCUCGUAGUUGAAUUUUGGGUCUGGCCGGGCGGUCCGCCCUCUGGGUGAGCACUGUUCCGACGCCGGGCCUAUCCUUCUGGUGAGUCGGCAUGUCCUUUAUUGGGUGUGCCGGGGAACCAGGACCAUUACCUUGAAAAAAUUAGAGUGUUCAAAGCAGGCGUAUGCUCGGAUACAUUAGCAUGGAAUAAUGAAAUAGGACGCGUGGUGCUAUUUUGUUGGUUUCUAGAACCGCCGUAAUGAUUAAUAGGGAUAGUUGGGGGCAUUAGUAUUCAAUUGUCAGAGGUGAAAUUCUUGGAUUUAUUGAAGACUAACUUCUGCGAAAGCAUUUGCCAAGGAUGUUUUCAUUAAUCAAGAACGAAAGUUAGGGGAUCGAAGACGAUCAGAUACCGUCGUAGUCUUAACCAUAAACUAUGCCGACUAGGAAUCGGGCGAUGUUAUUCUCAUGACUCGCCCGGCGCCUUA
Molecule: unclassified non-coding RNA, 520 nt
Filed under: uncultured Glomus
Lineage: Eukaryota; Fungi; Glomeromycota; Glomeromycetes; Glomerales; Glomeraceae
Also listed under: 2 other names
Description: SSU rRNA
Rfam family: Eukaryotic small subunit ribosomal RNA
Source: RNAcentral